RNAcentral lists this ribosomal RNA (723 nucleotides) under uncultured bacterium. Its description in RNAcentral is "bacterial SSU rRNA". It matches the Rfam family "Bacterial small subunit ribosomal RNA", at positions 28 to 762 of the family's 1533-position model. The record is from RNAcentral.
GACGAACGCUGGCGGCGUGCUUAACACAUGCAAGUCACGGGGGCCCGCAAGGGCAACCGGCGAACGGGUGCGUAACACGUGAGCAACCUACCGAUUUGCGGGGGAUAGCUGGCCUAACGGCCAGGUAAUACCGCAUACGCUUGUCUCGUCACCUGACGGGAUCUGGAAACCUCCGGGCAAAUCGAGGGGCUCGCGGCCUAUCAGCUAGUUGGCGAGGUAACGGCUCACCAAGGCGACGACGGGUAGCUGGUCUGAGAGGAUGGCCAGCCACAUUGGGACUGAGAAACGGCCCCAGACUCCUACGGGGAGGCAGCAGUGGGGAAUCUUGCGCAAUGGGCGAAAGCCUGACGCAGCGACGCCGCGUGGGGGAUGACGGGUUUCGGCUUGUAAACCCCUGUUGCCCGGGACGAACUUCUCCAUUCGCGGAGAUUGACGGUACCGGGUGAGGAAGCACCGGCUAACUCUGUGCCAGCAGCCGCGGUAAUACAGAGGGUGCGAGCGUUGUCCGGAAUCACUGGGCGUAAAGGGCGCGUAGGUGGCGGCCCAAGUCCGUGGUGAAAGCUCGAUGCUCAACAUCGAGUCGGCCACGGAGACUGGGUGGCUCGAGCACUGUAGGGGCAGAUGGAAUUCCGGGUGUAGCGGUGGAAUGCGUAGAGAUCCGGAAGAACACCGGUGGCGAAGGCGGUCUGCUGGGCAGUAGCUGACACUGAGGCGCGACAGCGU